ACGAACGCUGGCGGCGUGCUUAACACAUGCCAGUCGAACGGUGAAGGGACCAGCUUGCUGGUUCUGGAUGAGUGGCGAACGGGUGAGUAACACGUGAGUAACCUGCCCCCUUCUUCUGGAUAACCGCAUGAAAGUGUGGCUAAUACGGGAUAUUCUGGGUCUGUCGCAUGGCGGGCCCGGGAAAGAUAUUGCUUCGGUGGGGGAUGGGCUCGCGGCCUAUCAGCUUGUUGGUGGGGUGAUGGCCUACCAAGGCGGUGACGGGUAGCCGGCCUGAGAGGGUGGACGGUCACACUGGGACUGAGACACGGCCCAGACUCCUACGGGAGGCAGCAGUGGGGAAUAUUGCACAAUGGGCGCAAGCCUGAUGCAGCGACGCCGCGUGAGGGAUGGAGGCCUUCGGGUUGUAAACCUCUUUCGCCAGUGAAGCAGGCCUGCUCCUUGUGGGUGGGUUGACGGUAGCUGGAUAAGAAGCGCCGGCUAACUACGUG
This 488-nucleotide ribosomal RNA is filed under the name uncultured bacterium. RNAcentral describes it as "partial 16S ribosomal RNA". It matches the Rfam family "Bacterial small subunit ribosomal RNA", at positions 29 to 507 of the family's 1533-position model. The record is from RNAcentral.